ACACACACACACACACACACACACACACACACACACACACACACACACACACACACACACACACACGCGCAUCAGGGUUACAGCACUGUGUCGCACUUUAACAUAGUCCACUACGACUGUCACCUCGCAGCCGUCAGGUUAGUACGCGCACGCACACACACACACACACACACACACACACACACACACACACACACACACACGCGCAUCAGGGUUACAGCACUGUGUCGCACUUUAACAUAGUCCACUACGACUGUCACCUCGCAGCCGUCAGGUUAGUACGCGCACACACACACACACACACACACACACA
This is a non-coding RNA of Salmo salar (Atlantic salmon), 313 nucleotides long. Lineage: Eukaryota; Metazoa; Chordata; Actinopteri; Salmoniformes; Salmonidae. The record is from RefSeq and is a predicted model, not a curated record.